Molecule: unclassified non-coding RNA, 643 nt
Filed under: Semitaspongia sp. SDCC NZ121
Lineage: Eukaryota; Metazoa; Porifera; Demospongiae; Dictyoceratida; Thorectidae
Description: sequence contains ITS1, 5.8S rRNA gene, ITS2
Rfam family: 5.8S ribosomal RNA (bases 250-404)
Source: RNAcentral
CGUAGGUGAACCUGCGGAAGGAUCAUUACUAAAUCCUAACCGUUGUCUACGUGGCAAUGGUAAAAUACCGUGCACUGGCGACCUUAGAUGGGAGAAUGUGAGGUGUACACCCGGCAUGCAAUUGGGUGGUGCACUUAAAUCAGCAGGAAUCACACGACAACCGCCUGCUGGGCCUCGCUCUCAUCUUUGGUUUUUUUUUGUUUUUACAACUUGUGUGUGUUUGGUGUGUGUGCGUUGAAAAGUAAUGACAACUUCUGACGGUGGAUCUCUUGGCUCGUGCAUCGAUGAAGAACGCAGCAAGCUGCGAUACCUAGUGUGAAUUGCAGAAUUCAGUGAAUCAUCGAGUCUUUGAACGCAAAUGGCGCUCCCGGGGUCUCCUCGGGAGCAGGUCUGUUCGAGCGUCUGCCAACCAAACAAGUUGUCAUGCACGGCACCUUCAGUGGUGAUGGUGGUGACAAGAGUGAGGAGCUGUGGGGCCAACGCAUCUGCACUCCUUCAAAAUCAUGCUAGCAUAGCACUGUGACAGGCCCAGUCCCCGGCGGACAAGACAGUCGUCACAACGGCUUAAGAAGUUGUUUCGGUGUCUGUGUGGCUUGGGACUUGUGACUUGUCGUCGGUGCCGAUCAGCCAGCAUCGAGAAAAC